Molecule: transfer RNA, 358 nt
Filed under: uncultured Microcystis sp.
Lineage: Bacteria; Bacillati; Cyanobacteriota; Cyanophyceae; Chroococcales; Microcystaceae
Description: partial 16S-23S ribosomal RNA intergenic spacer
Rfam family: tRNA (bases 135-208)
Source: RNAcentral
AAGGGAGACCUAAUUCCGGUAGGAGACGAAAAAAAAGUAGUCCCUACCAAGAAUCAAUCCCAAAAGGUCGAAGCGAGGCAAGAUUGGCUUUCAAACUAGGUUCUGGGUUCAAACAAGACCUGAAUCAGGAACAAGGGCUAUUAGCUCAGGUGGUUAGAGCGCACCCCUGAUAAGGGUGAGGUCCCUGGUUCGAGUCCAGGAUGGCCCACCUGCACAGGUGGCAAAAACAAAGAAGCGAGGAAUCAGCACCCUAUCUUACUCAUAUAGUAAGAGAGAAUGCUGGCUCUGAGUAAAGAGUCCAGAGGAACCUUGAAAACUGCAUAGAGCUAGGUGAAAAAGCCAAAAAAGAAGACCGCAA